Molecule: long non-coding RNA, 1099 nt
Organism: Bos taurus (domestic cattle)
Lineage: Eukaryota; Metazoa; Chordata; Mammalia; Artiodactyla; Bovidae
Source: Ensembl
GUAUAUUUCUCGGGGUCACAGAGCUGGUGACGGGCAGAGGCUGGAUUCAACCCUAGACAGCCCAAGAGCCCACUCUCUUAGCCAGAGCCUGGAGGGCCUUGUCUCAUCGAGGGUCCCCAUCCCCAGGCCUCCAUCACCCAAUCAUCCGCUGCUGCUGGAUUUGCCCUGAUGUUCAGUGGUCCUUGCUGUGUAACGAGUAUCCCACAUGGGCGGCUGGGAUCCGAGCAGGACUCUCCUGAGAAGGAACUUGCCAAGAGAACUGAGAAGGAACUAUCCAAGAGAACUGGGCAGAGGCUUGGGCUUGUUGGGACACAGCCUCGGAAUCACACAGCAUUCCUGCUGCCGCAGUUGUAGCGUAAGCGUUCUAGUUUCGCCAUCAGGGAUCAAACUCCGGCCCCCUGCCUUGGGAGAGCGAAGCCUUAACCACCGGACCACUAGGAAGUCCGAGCACUGGUGGUUUCUUCAGGGUUCCUGAGUCUGAGAACACCUGUGUUAGACGAAGGCCUUUGUGAUCACUGGGCUAGACGACCUUCCCUCUCCAGAAACCCAAGAACUGCAGAGUCACUUGUGCAAAAAACCACACAUGCCUGAGGGUCCAGGUGUUAACAGGAGGUGGGUCACAUAGACCCAUCCGGCUAUCAAUCAGCCACGCAACUGAAAUUCCAGGCUCCAGCAAUGAAACCAGGUGCACAUCAUCAGUCUUGGCAUUUGUGCAAAACCGUCCUAACAGGCCAGCAGGGCACGGUCCACUGCUCCAGGCGAACACAACACCAUCCGUCACUGACAUCACAGGCCUCCUGGGAACCAUGCUCCCAAGGGUGGGCCGAGGAUUGGUCAGGGCGCCAGGUUUCCUUGGAGACACGCAGGGAACAAGCAACCAGACUUGCUGCGUAGGUUCUUCCCAGCAUUUUAACAUCGUUACGCGGGCAUCAGCCACAGUUACAGGUGCAUCUAGAGGCUUGGGGCUUGGAAACCACUGGGCCACUGGCUCCAUCACUGUGCCUCCCGUCAAGAGGAAGUGGGAGAACAUGCUGGAAAAGCAACCAGAUGACCUCCUUUCAAAUCAUAUCACUCUUCCAAGCCCAUGAUCUCAUGUGUC